This 208-nucleotide unclassified non-coding RNA is filed under the name Hevea brasiliensis (rubber tree). The record is from RNAcentral. Lineage: Eukaryota; Viridiplantae; Streptophyta; Magnoliopsida; Malpighiales; Euphorbiaceae.
AACUUAUCAUCAACAUCCUUGGCAGCCAGAGGGUGGAGGAUCUUGAAUUCAUUGAUAAUCCUAAGGCUAAGAAAUACAUUAAGUCACUUCCAUAUUCCCCUGGUACCCCAUUUUCUCACCUUUACCCUAAUGCCCAUCCUUCGGCAAUUGAUCUGCUUGGGAAAAUGCUUGUUUUUGAUCCAUCAAAGAGAAUAACUGUUACUGAAGC